This is a long non-coding RNA of Cyprinus carpio carpio, 632 nucleotides long. The record is from Ensembl. Lineage: Eukaryota; Metazoa; Chordata; Actinopteri; Cypriniformes; Cyprinidae.
AGUCAAAAGCAUGAAUUUCAAAACAAAGUUUACUUAUGAAAAUGUUAUACACUUUUCCAUUUGAAAAGGCUCAUUAGUCCUUUAUGAAUGUUAUUUAUUUAUUUAUUUUCUGUUUUAAUAAAUGCACUUUAUGGGAUUGUUAUUCAUUAGACAAAAGCAAAAAUUCAGGAGGAGUCCUUAAAUCUUGAUGCAAUAAAGACAGACUUGGCAGUAACACAUGACACGCUUAUAGAUUGGACCAAUGAAAUCCAGCAAUGGGCUGAUACAGCAACAAGUGAGGAGAACACAGACAGUCAGCAGGUGCUCCAGAAGACUAUUGAGACGCUUUAUGUGAGCAUCAGGCAGAGAAAGCAAGAUCUUUACCGUCAAUCAGAUGGGAACAAGAGAAGACACAAACUCCGAAGAAAGAUUUUGGAAGAAAAAGCCAAAUUUUGUGCAGCUGUAGAUGACUACAACAGGGCAGCAACUGAAAAACUGCAGUCAGCUGAUACAAUACUGGCAUCUGAGAGCUAUGCAUGGCCAUGGGUCCUUGAUGAACGUGAUAAUCUUGCAACCAAAAAAAAGGCCUUUGACCAACUGAUGCUGCUGAACCGGCUUACUGAAGAGGAGUGCAUUGUUCUGAAAGAAAUCCG